This is an RNA transcript of Pyrus x bretschneideri (Chinese white pear), 1928 nucleotides long. It is a transcript of the gene named ADP-ribosylation factor GTPase-activating protein AGD7, with no coding region annotated. NCBI's taxonomy places the organism in Eukaryota, Viridiplantae, Streptophyta, Magnoliopsida, Rosales, Rosaceae. The record is from RefSeq and is a predicted model, not a curated record. The transcript is spliced from 4 exons.
GGACUUAGAGAAAAAAUGGCGGCGUCUCGUCGGCUCCGGGACCUGCAAUCGCAGCCGGGGAACAAGAUCUGCGUGGACUGCUCCCAGAAGAACCCGCAAUGGGCCUCGGUGUCCUACGGUGUCUUCAUGUGCUUAGAGUGCUCCGGCAAGCACCGCGGGCUCGGCGUCCACAUCUCGUUCGUCCGAUCCGUGACAAUGGACUCGUGGUCCGAGAUCCAGAUCAAGAAGAUGGAGGCCGGCGGCAACGAGCAGCUCAACGCCUUCCUAGCCAGCUACGGCGUUCCUAAGGAGACGGAUAUCGUCACCAAGUACAAUACCAACGCUGCCAGCGUGUACCGGGAUCGGAUUCAAGCCCUAGCCGAGGGGCGUCCCUGGAGGGACCCACCUGUUGUGCAGGAAACCAUAGGGGUUGGGAAAAAGAAGCCGCCUUUGGCCCAAGGCGGCGGCGGUGGAAGUGGCAGGGGAGGUGGUUCUGGGAACAAUGGUGGGUGGGAUAGUUGGGAUGACGACGGUUUUAGAUCGUCGACCGAUUUGAGGAGGAAUCAGUCGACCGGUAACUUUAGAGGCGGUGGUGCUCAUGGUGGUAGUGGUGCUGGUGGAUAUGGAGGUGGGAUGCCGGCCAAGUCGAGGUCUACGGAGGACAUCACGAGAUCACAAUUGGAGGCUUCUGCGGCGAACAAGGAGAGCUUUUUCGCCAGGAAAAUGGCGGAGAAUGAUUCGCGGCCUGACGGGCUACCGCCCUCACAGGGCGGGAAGUAUGUCGGGUUUGGAUCGAGCCCCGCCCCUUCGCAGAAUCAUAAUGUGAAUGCGCAAGGCGAUGUGUUGUCUGUUGUAUCUCAGGGUUUUGGAAAGUUAUCUUUGGUUGCUGCAUCGGCUGCUCAGUCGGCUGCAAGUGUAGUACAGGCAGGCACUAAAGAUAUCACUACUAAGGUGAAAGAAGGCGGCUAUGAUUACAAUGUGAAUGAAACUGUUAAUGUUGUCACUGCAAAGACUUCAGAGAUUGGACAAAGGACUUGGGGGAUUAUGAAAGGGGUCAUGGCAUUAGCAUCACAGAAAGUUGAAGAGUACACUAAAGACGGAACAAACGGGAAAGCUGAGAAUAACUGGCAACGAAAUGGUAGUGAGCAGAAUGGAUACUAUCAAGAGUUUAAACAGGAGAACAAAGAAUGGAAUUCUUCUUCCGUAGGGGGGCAAUCAUCAAGUGGGAAUCUUAAUUCUUACGGCUCUAGUUCUUGGGAUGAUUGGGACCAAAAAGACACAAGGAAGCAAGAGACUACUAAAGGAACGGGAUCCAACAGCAAUGAUGGUUGGGCUGGAUGGGAUGAUGGCAAAGAUGAUGGAUGUGAUAAUGCUUACCGGAGUGCAUCUAUUCACAAUGGGAAAUCUGACUCAGCGUGGACUGGGGGAGGCUUUAACUAAGGUUAGUGUAAUACGGGGAACUUAUUUUUUGGUUAUCUAUAAGACUAUAACCUUUUCCAUAUCUUACCUUUUUACCAUGUUCCACCAGUAUAAGAAGGAAUCUCACGUGGUCUUAGCAAAUACUGGUUGACUCAUGUCGGACACAAAUUAGAACUCAAACGGAUGGAUGCCAAGGGUGAUACCUAGGACCUGGCUGAUGGAUAUGGAAUUUGAUGGAGGCGGAAAUUGUUAGCAGCUGGUGCUGACUGAUUGAUUGGUGAUAUAUUGGAAUUUAGAUCCAAUUCCAUGGAAAAGACACUUGUUGAGGUUAGUUUAUUUGCAGAAAAAUUUUCUUCUCUUUUUCUUUCAUCUUGAAAAGAUUUUUAUGUAACUUAUUUGGGAUUUUCGUCGUUUUCCAAAAGUUGUUUAUAUAUGUACAACUAUCAACGAGGAGGGUUAUUUGCCCGAUUCAAAUGAGGUUCAAAUUUGUUUGUGAGAUUUGAGGAAUGAAAAUUUCCAUUUGAUUUGCA